Molecule: long non-coding RNA, 2807 nt
Organism: Armigeres subalbatus
Lineage: Eukaryota; Metazoa; Arthropoda; Insecta; Diptera; Culicidae
Exons: 3
Source: RefSeq, a predicted model, not a curated record
AUAGUGAAUAUUACACUUAGAACAGAUGCACAUCAUUCAGUCAGAUGAAGUCACGUAAAAUUACAGAGUUUGAAUGCUAUAUCACAUUCAAUUAGGAUGCGAUAUUGAUUCUCGGCAACACUGUCCAGAUUCGUUCUUAUUUGAUCGAUCGCCAUGUUUGUUUUUAAGUCGCGAGUGAAAACUGUCGUUCCGGAUUACAUUUUAGGAAAACUCGAAAAAACAAUUCGAUAUUCCUACCAACUUGCAAGGUAAAACAAUCAUGGGCCUGCCAUACAAACUACUACACCUGCGCUCUGCAGUGUAUUGUGGCCACAAACAUCCGAUUUGGAGCCUGCCGGAAAGUCCCACAGUGCUGUAUCUGAUUCGAGAUCUGAUUACCGGCACGCAAGACACGGUUUCAGUUCACGGCACCAUUUCCGAAUCAUCGACUGUCAACAGACGAUUCGUUGAGUUUUUCAGCCCGAAAAGUGAGUGGGUAAUCGAUCUUGCUGUGAGUCAUAAGCUCACCGAUUUAAGAGACCUCACGUCUGGCGUAAACCUCUGUCCCUAAGAGCUCCAACGGUCGUCACUUUACAUCGGCCUGAUCAGACGGAUCGGUCCGCAUCUGAAGUGCUGUCUUCGGUCUCUUGCACUUCCACGUCGUUGUCUUCCAAAUGGGACUGAAGUAGAACCUAGCAUCUUAGUGGUACCACCGCCACUAAUCACGAUAAAAAAAACCAGCAGUUCCUCAGCGACGGGUCGUCCAAACGAAUUUUUUUGUUGGCUGUCAUAUUCGCCGAAUGGGAAACUGCUCCAGCGAAGCAGAGCUAAGUAUAAUUUUACCUUUGUUCGUUUGUUUUGUACUCUGUCCUUUAUUUAGAAGAUUAAUAUUAAUAGCCUAUUUAGAUUACGCCAUUUAUUAAUGAUUAUAAUAAGGAGUUACUUAAUGCCAAUGCUGUGCAUUCAAUUUUCUUUCUCCAAUAACACGAUAUUUAUUAUAAUAAAUCGCGUAAUCUGAACAGAUUGAGAUUAGAAUACCCUUCUCUCGGAUAAGUGUUGUGGCCGCGAUUGAAACCCAAGUCAUCUUGUCGUGGUAGUAUCACAGGUUGUCUAUUUUUUAAUUGUAUUGUAAUUUUUAUUGCAAACGAUAACCGGUUAGUUUGCACUUAAUUUCGAGUCAAGGAAGCGAUUACAUAUCUGGCCGCGUCAUACAUAAUCAGGCAUUACGCGACGUUUUGGCAUUCCAAAGGAAAUGCUCCUGGAAUUUAAAAGGAAUUCAUUUGUUUAGCUUACAUCUAAACAGAUAACAUUGAAUCAACAAUUUGACGACACAAUACAUGGUUCGAGGUCAAAUAUCUCCAUCACUCCAUCCUUGGUUGCUCCCCACCCCGUUUUGUACCUGAUCAGUCCAUCUCGCUCGCUGCGCUCCACGCCUUCUUGUACGUAACCGGUAGGAAGCAAACACCAUAUUUGCAGGGUUGCUAUCCGACAUUCUUGCAACAUGCCCUGCCCAUCGUACCCUUCCAGAAGAAUCUGAAGUCAAAAAAGAUUCACACUCGCACCAAAUGUAUCAGAACACUCAUAAGACCGGUGGUCCUUUACGGCAGUGAUCCUGAGCGUUUUUCCUUAAUUUGCUCCUCAGGCAAUACAAAUAAGCCUUUUUCCUACACAUAUAGCUGCUAAGGGUAUUAAAACGUAAUCGGUCUUAAAAUCACUCCGUAUGACAUGAUCAAAGCCAAAAAAGGUGUGGGCCAAAAGAUAUUUUAGUUACUAGAUGAAGAUUGUCGCUUCGGUUCCCUUUGUUCUGCUGUCCGGAACAUGUUGGGUGCCAAACUGUCAAAUCGUAUGGAUAUUCCUUCUUUGACAUUUAGCUCUCCUAUCCUCGCCAGCAAAAGAUGUUCCGGACAGCGACAAUCUUUAUCUGGUAACUAAAAAAUAUUUUUGUGGGCCGCAUUAACAUUUUGCUUCGAUCGAUUCGUAGGCUUAUUUUUAUUGAGUGUGAAACAAAUUAAGGAAAAAUGCUCAGAAUGCUGGGGAUCACUGAAGUAGAGGACCACCGGUCUUAUGAGCGUUCUGAACAUGAUACAUUUGGCGCGGGUGUGAAACUUUUUUGACAGCUGUUUUUUCUGGAGCCCGUAGAAGGCCCAAAGAUCCAAGGUAGAUGAAUUUCUCGCCCACCUCGAAGGUAUUUCCGUCUAUCGUAAAACUGCUUCCCAGGUCUUCGAAGCAUUCUACACCUGUCCAACUAACCAUUUCUGCCACCUUUUUAAAUGUUCGGCUGACAAUGUCCAUAUCAUUCGCGAAACAAAUAAAUUGGCUGUUACACCCGGCUUUCCGCAUGACACCUUGUAGCGCAAUAUUGAACAACAGGUACGAAAGUCUCCGGUCGGAUUCGAACGAACUGCCCGAAAUUUUUUCACUCGGUCUAUACUAUGGUAUGCCGCUUUGGAAUCGAUAAACAGCUGGUGCGUUGGGACCUAAUAUUCACGGCAUUUUCGAAGGAUUUACCUUACAGAAAAAUCUGGUCCGCCGUCGAGCGGCCGUCAACUAGGCCGGCUUGAUAACAUCUCACGAACUUGUUCAAUAUUGGUGAUAGACGGCGGAAGAUGAUCUAGGAUAUCACUUUGUAGGCGGUAUUUCGCUUGGAAGUUCUCACACUCCAGUUUGUCGCUUUUCUUGUAGAUGGGGCAUAUGACCUUUUCCUUCAACUUCUGUUUCCCAGAUUCUAACUACUAGGCACCUAGGAGGAAUCCAUCUAGGACUCCAAAAACAAUCAUACUGAAAUUCGAAUAUGUUUUGGAAGAUUUAUUAAUUACGCAAAAAUUGGG